AUGGCCAUCUCGAAGUCGAAGGGAGGGCUCGCAUUCUGAGACCUAGAGUUGUUUAAUGAUGCCAUGUUAGCAAAACAGGCAUGGAAACUCUUGGUUAAGCCAGAGAGCUUGUGUUCAAGGGUAUUGCGAGGGCGGUAUUACCCUGAUGGAAAUUUCCUACAGGCUACUUGUCCAGCUAGGUCAUCCCGUACAUGGCAGGCGAUCAUACAAGGAUGGGAGGUCCUUGAUGUCGCUUGA
This 237-nucleotide ribosomal RNA is filed under the name Triticum aestivum (bread wheat). RNAcentral's name for it is "partial small subunit ribosomal RNA". Lineage: Eukaryota; Viridiplantae; Streptophyta; Magnoliopsida; Poales; Poaceae. The record is from RNAcentral.